Molecule: long non-coding RNA, 361 nt
Filed under: Physcomitrium patens
Lineage: Eukaryota; Viridiplantae; Streptophyta; Bryopsida; Funariales; Funariaceae
Description: long non-coding RNA (PPAT_LNC001118)
Source: RNAcentral
UCUUUUUAUUUUUAUUUUUUUAGUUUAUUUAGUCUAAAACAUGUUUUUUUAUAUAAAACAACUCAAGGGAUAUAAUCUAAUAUGAUAAAUAAGAAGAAACAAAAACUAUCUUUAAUUGGUUGCACAUCUUAUUUUUUUCAUCAAAAGUGAAGUAAUCAAGGAUCAAAAUCUACAUGCUAUUGCUAUUAAUUGCUAAAAAUAGUAUUGAGUGAUCACUUGUUAUAGAACUUAAAAGCCUCACAACAUGGAAUGGCAUGGAAUAUGGAGUUCUACGUCAUAUUAAGCUUCAUAUUUUUGCUAGUAAGUUUCAUUCUCAAUAAGCUCAAAAAAAUCAAUAAUCUCUUUUCAAAAAUCCAUCUUU